This 338-nucleotide unclassified non-coding RNA is filed under the name Hevea brasiliensis (rubber tree). Lineage: Eukaryota; Viridiplantae; Streptophyta; Magnoliopsida; Malpighiales; Euphorbiaceae. The record is from RNAcentral.
AAGGAAUUGGGAAUGCUACCUGUAAGAAGAUUUGAAGCAAGAUUCAGGUCUGCAAGCCUAGAAAAUUCACCCAAUUCUGAUGGGAUAGUCCCGGAGAAUGAGUUUUUCUCCAAAUGCAAAGAUGAAAUUUGCUUUAGUUUUCCAAGUUCAGAAGGUAUUGCACCCGAGAAGUUAUUGUUAUCCAAGUAAAGCCUUUCCAACUGUGUGAGUUUCCCAAGUUCUUUUGGAAGCUCACCUGAAAAUCUGUUAUUUGAUAAUACCAACUGAUUCAGGCUAGUAGCAGCCCCAAUUUCCGGGGACAUAGUUCCACUGAAUUCGUUAUCACUGAAAUCCACCAU